This 407-nucleotide ribosomal RNA is filed under the name uncultured Nocardioides sp. RNAcentral's name for it is "bacterial SSU rRNA". It matches the Rfam family "Bacterial small subunit ribosomal RNA", at positions 355 to 774 of the family's 1533-position model. The record is from RNAcentral. Lineage: Bacteria; Bacillati; Actinomycetota; Actinomycetes; Propionibacteriales; Nocardioidaceae.
UGGGGAAUAUUGGACAAUGGGCGAAAGCCUGAUCCAGCAACGCCGCGUGAGGGAUGACGGCCUUCGGGUUGUAAACCUCUUUCAGUACCGACGAAGCGCAAGUGACGGUAGGUACAGAAGAAGCACCGGCCAACUACGUGCCAGCAGCCGCGGUAAUACGUAGGGUGCGAGCGUUGUCCGGAAUUAUUGGGCGUAAAGGGCUCGUAGGCGGUUUGUCGCGUCGGGAGUGAAAACUCAGGGCUUAACCCUGAGCCUGCUUCCGAUACGGGCAGACUAGAGGUAUGCAGGGGAGAACGGAAUUCCUGGUGUAGCGGUGAAAUGCGCAGAUAUCAGGAGGAACACCGGUGGCGAAGGCGGUUCUCUGGGCAUUACCUGACGCUGAGGAGCGAAAGUGUGGGGAGCGAACA